AGAGUUUGAUCCUGGCUCAGAUUGAACGCUGGCGGCAGGCCUAACACAUGCAAGUCGAGCGCGAAAGGCCUUCGGGCUGAGUAGAGCGGCGGACGGGUGAGUAACGCGUAGGAAUCUACCCGGUAGUGGGGGACAACUCGGGGAAACUCGAGCUAAUACCGCAUACGCCCUGAGGGGGAAAGCGGGGGAUCUUCGGACCUCGCGCUAUCGGAUGAGCCUGCGUUGGAUUAGCUUGUUGGUGGGGUAAAGGCCUACUAAGGCGACGAUCCAUAGCUGGUCUGAGAGGAUGAUCAGCCACACCGGGACUGAGACACGGCCCGGACUCCUACGGGAGGCAGCAGUGGGGAAUAUUGCGCAAUGGGCGGAAGCCUGACGCAGCCAUGCCGCGUGUGUGAAGAAGGCCUUCGGGUUGUAAAGCACUUUCACUUGGGAAGAAACGCUGUCGGUUAAUACCCGCCAGUUUUGACAUUACCUUGAGAAGAAGCACCGGCUAACUCCGUGCCAGCAGCCGCGGUAAUACGGAGGGUGCAAGCGUUAAUCGGAAUUACUGGGCGUAAAGCGCGCGUAGGCGGUUUGUUAAGUCGGAUGUGAAAGCCCCGGGCUCAACCUGGGAAUUGCACCCGAUACUGGCCGACUGGAGUGCGAGAGAGGGAGGUAGAAUUCCACGUGUAGC
RNAcentral lists this ribosomal RNA (673 nucleotides) under uncultured bacterium. RNAcentral's name for it is "bacterial SSU rRNA". It matches the Rfam family "Bacterial small subunit ribosomal RNA", at positions 8 to 679 of the family's 1533-position model. The record is from RNAcentral.